This is a long non-coding RNA of Sceloporus undulatus (fence lizard), 393 nucleotides long. RefSeq lists it as uncharacterized. The record is from RefSeq and is a predicted model, not a curated record. Lineage: Eukaryota; Metazoa; Chordata; Lepidosauria; Squamata; Phrynosomatidae. The transcript is spliced from 2 exons.
AGCCUACCACUCUUUGACAGAGAAGAUAUCAGCAGAAUGUACAUGAUGUCACAAAUCAGAGGUGGACUAUCAGAAGGACUGCAACUGGCCUGGGUUAUGCAUCAAAGUCUCAGCCUCCCCCUCUACCUAAACAAACAUCUACAUCAAGAAGGCAGUGUUACCUCUGCAGCAGGGAAGGAGAAGAGAAAGUCAGCAGAUAGUGCACGGAUCAUCUUUCAAUAGCUUCAGCUGAUCCUUGGCCUUUUCAAAGUCUUCCUGGCUGAACUGCAUGAUAGGUUUAGUUGUAUGUAACUUUACUGCAGGCAAAUGAAGACCAUACACAGUACUGCUGGGAAGAAAAAGAAAACAAAUAAAACCAGUUAACUUGUUAAAAUGAUCAGCAGAUGAAUAAAA